RNAcentral lists this ribosomal RNA (971 nucleotides) under uncultured bacterium. RNAcentral describes it as "bacterial SSU rRNA". It matches the Rfam family "Bacterial small subunit ribosomal RNA", at positions 28 to 994 of the family's 1533-position model. The record is from RNAcentral.
AUUGAACGCUGGCGGCAGGCCUAACACAUGCAAGUCGAGCGGUAGAGAGAAGCUUGCUUCUCUUGAGAGCGGCGGACGGGUGAGUAAUACCUGGGAAUCUGCCUGAUAGUGGGGGAUAACGUUCGGAAACGGACGCUAAUACCGCAUACGUCCUACGGGAGAAAGCAGGGGAUCUUCGGACCUUGCGCUAUCAGAUGAGCCCAGGUCGGAUUAGCUUGUUGGUGAGGUAACGGCUCACCAAGGCUGCGAUCCGUAACUGGUCUGAGAGGAUGAUCAGUCACACUGGAACUGAGACACGGUCCAGACUCCUACAGGAGGCAGCAGUGGGGAAUAUUGGACAAUGGGGGAAACCCUGAUCCAGCCAUGCCGCGUGUGUGAAGAAGGUCUUCGGAUUGUAAAGCACUUUAAGUUGGGAGGAAGGGCUGAUGCUUAAUACGUAUCAGUCUUGACGUUACCGACAGAAUAAGCACCGGCUAACUCUGUGCCAGCAGCCGCGGUAAUACAGAGGGUGCAAGCGUUAAUCGGAAUUACUGGGCGUAAAGCGCGCGUAGGUGGCUAAGUAAGAUGGGUGUGAAAUCCCCGGGCUCAACCUGGGAACUGCAUCCAUAACUGCUUGGCUAGAGUACGGUAGAGGGUAGUGGAAUUUCCUGUGUAGCGGUGAAAUGCGUAGAUAUAGGAAGGAACACCAGUGGCGAAGGCGACUACCUGGACUGAUACUGACACUGAGGUGCGAAAGCGUGGGGAGCAAACAGGAUUAGAUACCCUGGUAGUCCACGCCGUAAACGAUGUCAACUAGCCGUUGGGAACCUUGAGUUCUUAGUGGCGCAGCUAACGCACUAAGUUGACCGCCUGGGGAGUACGGUCGCAAGAUUAAAACUCAAAUGAAUUGACGGGGGCCCGCACAAGCGGUGGAGCAUGUGGUUUAAUUCGAAGCAACGCGAAGAACCUUACCUGGCCUUGACAUGCUGAGA